Molecule: ribosomal RNA, 301 nt
Filed under: uncultured bacterium
Lineage: Bacteria
Description: partial 16S ribosomal RNA
Rfam family: Bacterial small subunit ribosomal RNA
Source: RNAcentral
CAGUAGCCGCGGGAAUACGAAGGGUGCAAGCGUUAAUCGGAAUUACUGGGCGUAAAGCGUGCGUAGGCGGUGAGUUAAGUCUGCUGUGAAAUCCCCGGGUUCAACCUGGGAAUGGCAGUGGAUACUGGCUCGCUAGAGUGUGUCAGAGGAUGGUGGAAUUCCCGGUGUAGCAGUGAAAUGCGUAGAGAUCGGAAGGAACAUCUGUGGCGAAGGCGACUAUCUGGGCCAACACUGACACUGAGGCACGAAAGCGUGGGGAGCAAACAGGAUUAGAUACCCGCGUAGUCCCUGUCUCUUAUAA